AACUUGGGGUGGGAAAGGGGAGGUAGCAAUUUUUGAAGUAUUUUAGCCAUUUUUUUCAUUUAAAGAAACCACUUGUCCCCAUUUCCUCUUCUCCACUUUCUCAUAAUUUUGUUUUAAGAGGAACACUGGUUGUUUUUUAUACUUCUCCUAAUCUUUAAAAACUGCAUAUUGUUAAGACCCCAGUGUAUUUAAUAGGUAUUUUAUAAGCAUAGCCCAUUGGCUCAUGUUAGUGAAACCAUAAUCCUCUUUGCUUAGAACAUUAAACUCAUAAGAAGUACUACAAACCCCACCACUCUUUAUAGAUGUAUUGUACCACUAAUAUAAACAGCUAAAAAAUGGGGAAAUUGUAAUGUUACGCCUGUGCAAUUUUUAAGUGGCAUAUUAUGGCAGAUUAAAAUUUAGAUACUUGGCUUUUCUUGGGCAAGCCACUAAGUUGUGGCGGAAUGUUUUCUGGUGUUCUUGGACUGCAAUUAUGCACUAUUAAAGUAGUGGCCUGCUACAUAACUGCAUUUAGCCAGCAUUUCUGCAGUGCGUAACUGUGAGGAACGUAGUACCGCAAAUGGCAAUGGACAUUAGGACCCGGAUGUAGUAUUCCUGCUUGCUCCAAGAUUCUCAUUGCCGACUGCAUACAGGUAGGUAACAAGCAAUAUAAUCUAACUUGGUGACUUGUAUGUACUUUUAUUCCGUGGGCAUUCUGGCAUCACAUUUCUGACAAUGAAAUUACAGUGCAGCACCUAACACUUGUAUGGUAAAGCUAGCUUACAUCAAAACUGUGUGGGUGUGGGGUUAGAGCUGUAAUUUGUCAGGCAGAAUUCAGUGCUGUUGCAGUUCUCAGAUAAAAAGUGCAAACUUGAUUCUUUGGUAUAUCUGACUCAGUUGUGUGGUUUCCUUUAGUUGCAUUGUAACUGAAGAUAACAUGGAACACAUCAGUGGUGUGGGGGAGAGGGAACUAAACUAUACUUGGGAACUAGGGUGCUUUUAGCACCUUGACAUGGACCGUAUAGCAUGUGAUAAUUAGUCUCUAUUGUAGCAAACUGACCUGCCCAUAGAUCGGCAAUAUCAGUAAUUUCAUUAUGCAAUCUUGGUAAUUCUACAAGUUGAGUUGAACUAAAAGUACAGGUUUUUUUGUAAUGCGAUUUAAAAUUUUUAAAAACAUGGGCUUCAUGAAAACACCAUUGUUACUAACUUGGGCUUAGAUGGGAAUCUAAUGUGAAUAGUUCAAGUUAUGGGACUUGUCUAAAUGUGUCUAUACUCUAAACCUGGGGGAAGGUGGUGUGGAACAUUGACUUGACUACAGUCGAAUACAUGUUGGGAAUCAUUCCCAAUCAUAAGACAUCGUCGUUUCUGUAGGAUGACUGCAUAUGUUCAGAGUAGCUUUUUGAAUUUGGUUCCCUUAGCUUUAGGGAUGUGAUGUUAUAGUCCAAAAUGUUUACAAGAAAACCUAAGUCUUCAAAAGCACAACUUUUGUUGCUUAGGACUUUGCAUCAACUGUUGUUCCAGACCUCACUUCAACUUCUUGGUCUCUGAACUGGUUUUAGCUAGCAUGCAUGAGAGACAGUUUUCAUGUAUAAUGUUUCUGCUCUGUAACUGGAAAGUGGUUUACUUUGCAUAAAUGCUGAUGAAAACUUCAUGACUAUGAGACUUUUCUUCUGUGUAUCAAGAAAAAGCUUGCUCGUUGGCAAGCAAUUCACAAGGUGGGGACAGACUUGUACUUUAACAUGUAGUCCAUUCAAGCAAACAACUUUGGACUCUACUGAUAGAUGAAAGAGCAAAUGAUGACUAGUUUAGCCUCUGCAUAUCAACAAUAUAAUGCAGAUCAAGUAUAAUGCUCAAUAUUAGUGACAUGAGUAUCACUAAAUUACAUAGAACCCUGAUGGGGUUUCCUGUGUCGUAAUCCAUUAAAUCGGUGGCCAGUGCUUGCUGCCGUGGUUUAGUGAUUGGGUGUUAGAAAUAAAAACUCAGGUCUAUUUCUUACCAGUCAGUAACAAUUUUUAGAGAAUGUACUUGGUAUAUAAUAUAUGGACUUCAGGAACUUUAUUGGGGUGGGGGGUUAAUUUUGCCUUACCCUGUUCACUUUCAGAUGAUUAGGCUUUUGCACUUUAGAAUGAGAAACUUGUGACGUUAGUGUGUUCUUACUAGCUUUAAUUUGUAUGUAGCAAUGAAUUGUGAAUCUUAGUGCAGUGGGUUUUUUUAAAAAACUCAAAAAGCUGGGAAUUAAGUGGUUUCAGUAAUAAUGCUAUACCGAGGUGCUUGCAUUGUAUUUCAUAAUUUUGUUACAAACCAAAAUUAUUUUUAAUGAGAACAGUCUUGGGUUCAGAGGUGUGAUGCCAGAAUGUAUUUUCGUACUGUUAGGCCCUUGGAACAGAUACCGGUGCUUUCUGAAAGAUGAAAGAAAUGCAAUGGGUGCUCUUCAUGCAAGGUUGCAAACCUACCAAGAAUGCAUAAUAGUCUCACUUUUCCCCAAUAAAGAGAUGCGUGUGACUAGUUUUGGACUUUUAACCUUAAUGGGGGUUGCAUGUCUCCUAUUGUUAAUCAUUGUCAGCUGCAGUGACAUGAUCCACAGUCCUGCAUUUACUGCCUUUCACUUAAUGAUUUUGGACAGGUUUUAGAGAGCCAGGAUGUUGGUCUGGGCCUUUAUUUGGUUUUGGCUUUAGCUGAUAAUGUUUUAGUGAUGUCAGCUAGUGCAGUUCUCAAAUGGCUGCCUAUUAGGGAAAGAAUUCAGAGGAUUUGACUGCUCCUAAUCAUCUGUCAUUGCUGCUAGAUAAUGAUUGGCAAUUUUUAAGACUCAACUGGAAAUCUCAACAGUUGCUGGUAAACCAUUAACCAUAAAAACGUUGCUUUUGAACACCAGUGCUGAAAAAAAUAUUUUUUUUUUUUUUUUUGAGAGUGAAAAGGGCUUGGACUUAAGAUAGGACAAUGUGGAGAAUGGGGGGAAGAAUGCAAAACGAUAUAGUAUCCCUUAUGGAUGGUACAUGUGCAACAGGGAACUCUUACUUCAUAUACCCUUUGCAGUAAUCAUUCAGGGAGGAAGAAAAACCUGGAACUUGAAUGAAGGCUGAUCUUUGUUUUGUGCACUGUGGCCCUGCCAGGCAUAUAGUGAAGGUGAAUGUCUUCUCCCUCAGAAAAAAAUUGGUUCCUUGCUGUCCCAGUAAGGCAUAGCUUUUCCAGCCCUAACUUUAAAACUCAGUGAGGACUUAGAUGGGAAAGAAUGAGGUAAAUACAAAGGAUUGCAGGACAACAACUACAGCGUUGUGUACUGUGGGAAGGGGAGUUGGGCACUCUUGGAGGACUCCUGCUGAAGGUGGUCAGCCUGCCUGACAAUGGAAGACAUACUUGAAUGGGGAGCAGGGUAUGUGCUUUCAUAUGAAAAAAGAGCUGAUGUUAAAACUCAUUUGGUGAGGUCAACGUUGUCACAUACCUUCACAUAAGGGAUAGUAUAUUUUGGGUUGCAGUCAAACUUGUGCUCAGACUGGUGAAACUGAGAGUCAGGCUUUUACAUUUUAAAGAAAAUACAGUUUUCAUUCUAAUUCAGGUGUCUACUUAUUUUAUGUAAGAAUAAUUUUAGAUUUCCCCCCCACCAUGAAGUUUCUUCCUAUUUUUUUAUGCUGUAACUUACCCCCAAUCUUUAUCUCUGGAUUUUUACUCUUUAAAUUUUGAAGUUGACUAGCAUUUUCAAACCUUUAUUUUAUACCCUUGUCUUUUAUAUUAACUUUUUCUUAUUAUUCUUUAGGUAAGAAUGAUUGAUGUUGGCUGAUAUUGGAGUGCUCAUUCACAUGAAGUGGAUAGAUACUUCUCAAGACAUCACACAGCGUGAGUCAAUCAAGGAGGGAAGCCACAAGCAGACUGACAACGUUUCUAGCAGGAUCAGGUGAGCUGUGUCCAGAAAACCAACGAGAAGGAGUGGAAGGAGGAAUGAACGUUUCAUUCUCGUUAAUAAAGGCAUUAUCCUA
RNAcentral lists this long non-coding RNA (3950 nucleotides) under Homo sapiens (human). Its description in RNAcentral is "non-protein coding lnc-SFPQ-2:2". The record is from RNAcentral. Lineage: Eukaryota; Metazoa; Chordata; Mammalia; Primates; Hominidae.